Molecule: transfer RNA, 64 nt
Filed under: Rhithropanopeus harrisii
Lineage: Eukaryota; Metazoa; Arthropoda; Malacostraca; Decapoda; Panopeidae
Description: tRNA-His
Source: RNAcentral
ACUUGAAUAGUUUAAUUAAAAUGUAAACUUGUGGUGUUUAAGAUGUAAAAUUUUACUUUAAGUA